RNAcentral lists this ribosomal RNA (896 nucleotides) under Staphylococcus equorum. RNAcentral's name for it is "bacterial SSU rRNA". It matches the Rfam family "Bacterial small subunit ribosomal RNA", at positions 601 to 1474 of the family's 1533-position model. Lineage: Bacteria; Bacillati; Bacillota; Bacilli; Caryophanales; Staphylococcaceae. The record is from RNAcentral.
CCAUCGGCUCAACCCUGGGAGGGUUCAAUUCGAUAACCUGGAACCUUGGAGUACAGUAGAGGAAAGUGGGAAUUACCUUCCGUAAGCGGGUGCAAAUGACGCAGAGAUAUGGUAGGAACACCAGUGGGCGAAGGGCGACUAUCCUGGUCUGUCAUCUGACGCUGAUGUGCGAAAGCGUGCGGGAGCAAACAAGACUUAGAUACCCUGGUAGUUCACGCCGUAAACGAUGAGUGCUAAGUGUUAGGGGGGUUUCCGCCCCGUUAGUGCUGCAGCUAACGCAUUAAGCACUCCGCCUGGGGAGUACGACCGCAAGGUUGAAACUCAAAGGAAUUGACGGGGAGCCGCACCACCGGUGGAGCAUGUGGUUUAAUUCGAAGCAACGCGAAGAACCUUACCAAAUCUUGACAUCCUUGAAAACUCUAGAGAUAGAGCCUUCCCCUUCGGGGGACAAAGUGACAGGUGGUGCAUGGUCGUUGUCAGCUCGUGUCGUGAGAUGUUGGGUUAAGUCCCGCAACGAGCGCAACCCUUAAACUUAGUUGCCAGCAUUUAGUUGGGCACUCUAGGUUGACUGCCGGUGACAAACCGGAGGAAGGUGGGGAUGACGUCAAAUCAUCAUGCCCCUUAUGAUUUGGGCUACACACGUGCUACAAUGGACAAUACAAAGGGCAGCUAAACCGCGAGGUCAUGCAAAUCCCAUAAAGUUGUUCUCAGUUCGGAUUGUAGUCUGCAACUCGACUACAUGAAGCGGGAAUCGCUAGUAAUCGUAGAUCAGCAUGCUACGGUGAAUACGUUCCCGGGUCUUGUACACACCGCCCGUCACACCACGAGAGUUUGUAACACCCGAAGCCGGUGGAGUAACCAUCUAUGAGCUAGCCGUCGAAGGUGGAUCAACUCCA